UACAUUUGCAGCGAUGACGGUUCCGCCAGACGGCGGAUUAAAAGGGAAGUCCGGUGAAAAUCCGGCGCUAUCCCCGUAGCUGUAAGCCUUAUGGGACCACGAGUCCCGGUAACCGGUUUCUUACGCCACUGUCCGCCAAAGGCGGACGGGAAGGCAACCAGGUUAAAGGCGAGCCAGAAGACCUGCCUCCAUCAUUUCAUUGCU
Molecule: non-coding RNA, 204 nt
Filed under: Sphingobacteriales bacterium
Lineage: Bacteria; Pseudomonadati; Bacteroidota; Sphingobacteriia; Sphingobacteriales
Source: RNAcentral